This 4351-nucleotide long non-coding RNA is filed under the name Callithrix jacchus (white-tufted-ear marmoset). Its description in RNAcentral is "lncRNA (ENSCJAG00000072830.1)". The record is from RNAcentral. Lineage: Eukaryota; Metazoa; Chordata; Mammalia; Primates; Cebidae.
AUGGAAUUCAGCUAUGUAUCAAUAACAAGGUUAAGUAGAAUAUUUUUGAAAAUUAAGAAUUUGGAGGAAUUAAGAAAUACACUGGAUCAAACAAAAAAUUACAGUGGAAAUAUAUAUAUAUAUAUAUAUAUAUAUAUAUAUAAGACAGAGUUUCGCUCUUGUUACCCAGGCUGGAGUGCAAUGGCGCGAUCUCGGCUCACCGCAACCUCCGCCUCCUGGGUUCAGGCAAUUCUCCUGCCUCAGCCUCCCGAGUAGCUGGGAUUACAGGCACAUGCCACCGUGCCCAGCUAAUUUGUAUUUUCAGACUUUUUCGUUUCUUAGCAAAUGCACAUGAUACUACUAAUUUUCCCCUAAGUACAAUUUUACCUGUAUCUCUCAAGUUUUUAUAUGUAGUGAAUUCAUUGUAAUUCAGUUCCACACAUUCUAUCAUUUUCUCUUAUGAGUUUUCUCUUUAACUCACUAAUUAUCUAAAAGUAUGAUUUUAUAUUUAAUUUUUCCAAAUACGUGGGAAGUAACUAACUUUUUACUGUUAAUAUUUUAUCUCACUUUGGUCAGAGGACGUGAGUGGUAUAUUGGCCAUUUGGAAUGUGCUACACCUUUCUUAAUGGUCUAAUACAUUAUUAUUUUCUGUAAACAGUGUAUGUUAGAAAAUAAUGUCUGUUAGAAAAUAAUGAUCAGGUCCCUUCGUUCCUGAUCUCAGCUGUCAAUCCUGUCUCAUCCCUUGGUGAUGAUUUCACAAUAUAUAUAAUAUACAACAUGUAGUAUGUAAUUUGGGGUGUCUUAUGGUCAUGGGCAAAUAGGCUGUGGCAGGGACUGGUUAGAUGCUCUUCCAUCUCAUUUCCUCAUCCUAAGCACUUCAUUUUCUAGCCUCCUUCACAAUUCACGUUAAAGUUCUGUGACUACUGGUCAGUGAAAUUUGGGUGGAAGUGAUACAAGUAGUAAGCAUGUUUCUACUUAUUUUCUACGAGAUCAAGCUUGUUUUUCUAUAUUCUUACUUAUUACUUGUUUGCCUGAUCAAUCCAUUCCUGGGAAAUGGAUAUUAAAACCUAUCAUUGUAACAACUUUUAUCAAUGACUCCCUGUCAUUUUGAAAGCUGUUGCUCUUUCUAUUUUAAGGCUGUAUAGUUAGAUACAUACAAAGUAGUGGUUAUUAUGUCAUCUUGCUGGAUUAUUUCUUUUUAGCAAUAUGAAAUAGGUGUCUCUAAAUAUUACUCUUAAUGCUAUUCACAUUAAAUUCUAUUUUGCCUGUUAUUACAAACACUACACUAACUACCUUUGGAUUAGCAAAUGCCUAGUAUAUCUACUUACUAUGCCUUAAUGUUUAAAUGUCUCCUGAGUAUUUUAAGUGUGUAUAUUAUAAUCAUUAUAUACUUAUAAAUGUUGAAUAUAAUCUGAAGUUUGGCUUUUAAUUGUGAGUUUAACCUAUUUACAUUUGUUAUGGUUAGUAAUAUAGGUGGACUUAUUUUUACCUUCAUGCUUUCUUUCUACCUCUUUGGUUUUUCUACUUUUAUUUAUUUUGUUGGAUUGAUCAAGUUUUCUACAUUUCUUUUAUUCUCUACUACUGGUUCAGCUGUUAUGCGUUCUAUGAUCCUAGUGUUUACUUUUAACGUUUAAUAUUGUGUAUUUUGCAUCACCUCCCACUCUGGAUUUUUUUUUUGGCUUAGAUGUUUCAUUUAAUAAUUAUAUUUGGAAACAUUCACACAUUAUACAUUCAGUAUCUAUUCUAUGUUCUGCUUUAUCCAAAAAUAUGUUAUCAUUGCCCUUAAAUUAUGGUUUGAUUAGGUAUAGAAUUGUAAAUUCACAAUUAUUUUAUCUCAGCUUCAAAGUUACUAUGUCAUUUUUUCUUGCAUAUAGUGUUGUUCUUGAGAAGUUGGCUAACAAUCUGAUUGCUGUUCUAUUGAAGAUAACCUAUGUCUUAUUUGCUGGUCUUUAGGAUUUUCUCUUUAUCCUUGAUAUUCUCCAGUUCCACUGAAAAACAUCUAAACAUGAAAUUUAAUGAGUAUUUUUGUACUUCUGAAAAGUUACCAGCUGGGGCUGGAAUGCUGUGGCCCAACCAUGCCUCACUGCAGUCUCUACCUCCCAGGCUUACGCAAACCUCCCAUCUCAGCCUCCCGAGUAACUGUGACUAUAAGUGCACACCAUCACGAACAGCUACAUUUUUUUAGUUUUUUUUGUGUGUGUAGAGACAAGGGUAUACCAUGUUGCCCAGGCUUAUUAUUUCUUUAAAUACUGAUUCACUCACUUGCUGUCUUUGAUUCUGCCUCUCCUUCUUGACAUAUGUUGGAACUUCAUUUUCUGUCUUCUGUGUCUUUUAUGUUCUCUUUUAUACUUUCUAUUUCAGUACUUUGCAUCCUGUUAGGUUUAUAUUGAAGCUUCUCAUUCUUUAUUUUACCUCUUCACUUCUCUUAUAAUUGCUAUUUCUUUCAUAUUUGAUAUCUAUUCCAUAUUUUCCAUCCUAUUAGUCAUAUGCUGAAAUAUCUCAUUCCAUCUUCAAAUUUUUUUAGGUUAUCUGUUAUAUUUUCCAUGCCUUUAAUAAUUUAUAUCUCUAAGUUAUUAAAUUAAUUUUAAAAUUAAAUUUAAAAUAAUUUAUAUCUCUAAAUUAUAAAAUUCUAAAACAAGAAUUUUAAUCAGUUCUGUCUUCUAAUUCAUAUGUCAUUUUCUCAGCAGUGUCUGGCUGAUAACUUAUGCAUCAACUGAGAGAUUUUGUUUUUAAUUCCAAUAGGUAUUUUGAAUUUAUUUUUUACCUAGAUGCAAAGAGCUGUGUCAACAAUAAUAUUCACUUGAAAGCAUUUGCAACCAUGUGUUUACACAAGGCACUCAUUUUAUUUUUUUCCCUUCGUUCCUGAUCUCACCUGUCAAUCCUGUCUCAUCCCUUGGUGAUGAUUUCACAAUAUAUAUAAUAUACAACAUGUAGUAUGUAAUUUGGAGUGUCUUAUGGUCAUGGGCAAAUAGGCUGUGGCAGGGACUGGUUAGAUGCUCUUCCAUCUCAUUUCCUCAUCCUAAGCACUUCAUUUUCUAGCCUCCUUCACAGUCAUGUUAAAGUCCUGUGACUACUGGUCAGUGAAAUUUGGGUGGAAGUGAUACAAGAUAGCACUGUGUGUAUGGGGGGAAGGAUGUGUGGGGAUAUUGAGCUGACCAGGUGUGAGCCGUAGUGAAUAUCCAUUGCCCUCACCCCUGACUAGCAUCCACACCCACCCUCCCCCAUGCCACUUCAUGUGGUAACAUUCCCAUAUUGAUUUACCCAGUAUUGAUUUAGGAAAAUACCUCAUUACUGUUGUAUGCAAUCUUGAUAAGACUGUCCAUCAGCAUGCCCUGCAUUCACCUGACCAAAGCAAGACUAGCUACAUAAUUUGCAGGGCCCAGAACAAAAUGAAAAUGUGGGGUCCCUUGUACAAAAUUAUUAAUAAUUCCAAUACAGCAACAGCAGAGCAUUAAACCCAUGUAGGACCCUUCUAAGGGUAGAGGGUGUAUAAGACUGUGCACGUGAUACGCCCAGGAAAGCUACUGUCUGUCUCAAUGGUGUAGGUUUAGGAAAAUCCUGGAACUGAUUUCCCUUAGAAGUCACCAUUGGUUUUGCUACUUGGGUCCCCAGGGAAGUACGGGUUCCUGUCUUUUGCAAAUCUGAUUCAUUUGCUUCCCUUCAAUUCUAUCAGCUCCAUUUCCUUCCAAUUAAACCUUUGACUUAAUUUAACUAAAGCCCAUUUCUGAUAGUUACAUCAAAGAAUCCUAAAUGAAACAAUAAGUAAUUCCACUUGAGCCCUCCAAAUCUGUUUUCCACCUGAAAAAUAGGAAUAAUAAUAUAUAUGUCCAAGGGCUCCAGUUAUAAUUUCGAAGAGAUAAAUGAAUGUGAAGUGCCUAGUACAAACGCUGUAUGUACUAGAAGCUUAUUCAAUGCAAUUUUUCUUUCCUCAUCCUCACUCAGCUCUCAGACCGUAAACAACAAAAUCCCAGGCUCUCUGUAUUCAGACAGAAAUAUUGCCCAUCUUGGAAACAGGUCUAGAAGUCAAGUCUUUCAAAUCUGUCAGGUUGCGUGAACCUCCCUUGCGGGGGGACGAAGGGAACUGGAGAGAAGAAAGAGCUAAGGGUGAGUUUUGUGUACUUUCCAUCUAUUCCCCUCUCUCGGGUUUGUCAGAUUUCUUGGGGGGGAAUUAGCUCCCCCUCAGAGUGUGGUCUCUGAUAGUGACGCCAGAACAAGCUUCCCACUUUGAAGCCUAGAGGACCACAUUCUAGGUCUCCCCACCUCCUAGUCAAGCAGGGGGUAGACAGUAUGACCUAAACUCAGCCAAUCUGUGCCUGCCUUCCAGGCUUGGAAUCUUGAAUUAUCACAUGUGAAGACAGAAGGAGGGAUUCCA